ACUUCUGGUUGAACUUGCGUGAGGUACGGAUGUUACAAACGGAGUUCCAACUAAUGAAGAGCAUGUUCCUGGCCUGAGACUGAUAUCAAGAGAACCACCGAGGAGGCUCCGGUCUUUACGAAGCAACAGCCGGUGUGGAGAUAUCCGCAUUAAUCAACGAACAGGUUGUCGGAGCUCUGUCCAAGACUGACGGUGUGAAUGGAGGCGCAUGGUAGAGGGUCAUGGUGAACGCGUUGUGGCUGCCCUCCACUGAGUUCACACACUGACUGCAAACGCCAGAGUGCUGACUACUGCAUCAUCCAUCGCUACUAUGGUCUAACUGUCCGGCGGCCCUUCAUUCCUAGGCGUGAGCUGGGCUGCCUCCUGAACAAUAAUAGAUGGUCAGACUCAUGGCUUAUCAGAGUUGCUGAUUAAUGAGCUAUCUUGUUCGUAAGAGUUCGAAGGACUCUUUCUUUGUUUUUUUUUAUUAAUUUUUUUAUUACACAAAAUGUAGUGACUGUUUCUAGGGACGGUCUUUGAGGUAUAAUAAAACAUUCAUUGCA
Molecule: long non-coding RNA, 542 nt
Organism: Eriocheir sinensis (Chinese mitten crab)
Lineage: Eukaryota; Metazoa; Arthropoda; Malacostraca; Decapoda; Varunidae
Exons: 3
Source: RefSeq, a predicted model, not a curated record